Molecule: long non-coding RNA, 353 nt
Filed under: Lactuca sativa (garden lettuce)
Lineage: Eukaryota; Viridiplantae; Streptophyta; Magnoliopsida; Asterales; Asteraceae
Description: long non-coding RNA (LSAT_LNC008393)
Source: RNAcentral
GGCUUCAAGAGGUACAAAUCAAUGAUAAUUUUGCCAAACUUUCAGAAGCUUUAUAUGUAGCUGAACAAAAAGCAAGAGAAGCUGUUUCCAUGAGGUCAAAAGUCCAAAAGGAAAUGAUGAUGAAAGAAAAAGAAAGAAAAGAACAAGAACUCCGCGCAUUAGCUCAAAAAGCAAGAUCCGAAAGAACCGGGACCGCAACCGGACCACCUCCUGCCGCCCCACCGCCGCCUCCCUCCGGGAAGAGCAUGAUGGAUGUUGACGAGAGAGAACCAAGAGAACCAAGAGAAACAAGAGAGACAAGAGAGGAGAGAGAGGAGAGGAUUCAGAGAGAGAAGAUUCGGGAGGAGAGGAGG